GUGUCGGACGUUACCAAACUGUUGCCUCGGCGGGGUCACGCCCCGGGUGCGUCGCAGCCCCGGAACCAGGCGCCCGCCGGAGGAACCAACCAAACUCUUUCUGUAGUCCCCUCGCGGACGUAUUUCUUACAGCUCUGAGCAAAAAUUCAAAAUGAAUCAAAACUUUCAACAACGGAUCUCUUGGUUCUGGCAUCGAUGAAGAACGCAGCGAAAUGCGAUAAGUAAUGUGAAUUGCAGAAUUCAGUGAAUCAUCGAAUCUUUGAACGCACAUUGCGCCCGCCAGUAUUCUGGCGGGCAUGCCUGUCCGAGCGUCAUUUCAACCCUCGAACCCCUCCGGGGGAUCGGCGUUGGGGAUCGGGACCCCUCACACGGGUGCCGGCCCCGAAAUACAGUGGCGGUCUCGCCGCAGCCUCUCCUGCGCAGUAGUUUGCACAACUCGCACCGGGAGCGCGGCGCGUCCACGUCCGUAAAACACCCAACUUUCUGAAAUGUUGACCUCGGAUCAGGUAGGAAUACCCGCUGAACUUAAGCAUAUCAAA
Molecule: ribosomal RNA, 539 nt
Filed under: Trichoderma asperellum
Lineage: Eukaryota; Fungi; Ascomycota; Sordariomycetes; Hypocreales; Hypocreaceae
Description: eukaryotic LSU rRNA
Rfam family: 5.8S ribosomal RNA (bases 161-314)
Source: RNAcentral